CUGUGCCGAGGUGAGAGCAGAUGAAGACGACCUCAAUGGUCCAACUCAAUGGUUGAUGUCAGUCCAAAUGGAAUCAAGGAAAUAUCGUCAGAAUGACAGCCAAAGAGAUCACACAGGACCACUCCUCAAUCGGGAAAGGCACCAACCAUACAUUAGAGCAGCCAUCCCACUACCUCCCCGCCAAGUCGAAGGGGCGUCCAGGCCACAAACAGGGACUCACCGACACGAAAAAGGUAUGCCUCCACUUUUACAUGCUCACAAUUUUUGUGUUUCUCCUUUAGAAAUAGUUUACGCCCUAGAGAAGCUCGGUCCCAAGGUGAAAUGGCCACAAAAGAUGAAGUCGGACCCAAAUUCCAGAAAGUCUAAUGCCCUCUACGAGUUCUAUCAGGAACAUGGCCACAAGACCGAGGAUUGCAUAGCCCUACAACAAGAAGUAGUGAACAUGCUCCACCAAGGACAUUUAAAGGAGCUGAUGAGUGACCUAGGGAGAGCCAAUUUCGCCCGUGGACUAGAAAAAGAUCAAGGCCCCCCAAAGCCACCCUCUCCCGCCCCCACCAUCCAAAUGAUCAUCGGUAGAGGCGACGAAGGAACAAUCAACCAUGUGAAGUUCACCAACAUACACAAAUUGAAGCGGUUGAUCACCAAUGAACGGUAUGAUGACCUCGAAGACAGUAUCAUCUUUGAUAAGUCAGAUACCCACUAUUUGACCUUUUCUCAUUUCGACGCUCUUGUCAUUGCUUUAGAAUUUCAAUUACUGAUGUAAAAAGAAUCAUGGUAGACAAUGGGAGCGGCGCGUUUAUUAUCCACCCCAGAGUUCUAGCACAAAUGAGACUCGAGGAUAAGAUAGUACCACGCUGCAUAACACUAACAAGUUUUAACAAUGGAGUUGAACGAACGUCCAGAGAGAUAACAUUGCCCGUUCUGGCCAGGGGUGUCACCCUGGACACCAUAUUCCAUGUCAUGAACCAAGACACAACCUACAACGCCAUUAUAGGGUGACACUGGAUACACGCCAUGAGGGCCAUCCCAUCCAAUUUAUAUUAGGUCAAUAAGUUCCCUACCCCAUGGGGAAUAUUCAGCAUCCACGAUGAUUAUCGCACAGCUCAAGAAUGCUACUGCAUCGCCCAAGACUACACAUACACUCAACAGUUAAGAGCGGAGGCCUCAGGAGCACAAGUAUUACCAAGUUGGGGCCCGAGUCCGACGAACAAACAGACAUCGUCAAAGACCCUAGCGUCGAGGAAGCCAUAGGGUCAACAGUAGAAGACCUCGAUCCUGUCCAGCUGGACAAAAGUGACCACAACAAAAAAGCCUACAUUGGCCACAAACUCAUAGAACUAGGUAAAUUCCAUAAAUUGUUAACUAACAACGCCGAUAUGUUUGCUUUCUCCCAUGCACAUAUGCCGGGUAUCCCGAAAGACAUAGCAACACACAAGCUGAAUGUCGAUCCACUCUACCUGCCGGUACGGCAAAUCAAAAAAACGUUCAAUGCUGCAAUCAACGAGACCGUCCAUGAAGAAAUAGAAAAAUUGCUCGCCAACGGUUCCAUUCGAGAGUCAAAGUACCCCCAAUGGGUCGCCAACAUAGUCAUGGUGAAAAAGAAAAAGGGGAAUGGCGCAUGUGUAUAGACUUCACGGACCCAAACAAACCCUACCCAAAAGACUCUAUCCCGUUGCCUCACAUCGAUCAGCUCAUCGACGCAACAGCGGGGCACGAGUUAUUAAGCUUCUUGGAUGCCUACUCAGGAUACAACCAAAUCCUUAUGGAGGAGGAGGACCAGGAAAAGACCACCUUCAUCACCCACCAAGGGACGUAAUGCUAUAGAGUCGAGCCGUUCGGGUUGAAAAAUAUCGGGGCGACCUAUCAGAGGCUGGUCACCAAGAUGUUCAAAGAGCAACUCGGAAAAACGAUGGAAGUCUAUAUAGACGACAUGUUGGUCAAAUCAAAAAGAAAAGAAGACUACAUCGACCACCUGAGAGAAGCCUUCGACAUACUUAGGCGAUAUAGCAUGAAGCUGAACCCUAAAAAGUGCGCCUUUGGCGUGACCUCGGGAAAGUUCCUCAGCUUUUUGGUAUCGCAGAGAGGCGUCAAGGUCAAUCCCAACCAAAUCAAGGCUAUAGAGGGAAUACCUAAAAUUUUGACCAGCAAGAAACAGGUGCAGAAGCUGACCGGCCGUAUAGCCUCCCUGUCAAGGUUCAUCUCACGAUCAUCUGACAGAUGCCAUAAAUUCUUCAACAUACUCAAAAAGGACAACAGACUCUAUUGGAAUUCUGAAUGCAUCAAUGCCCUAAGAGAAUUAAAGGCAUACUUGUCCUCACCCCCGCUACUUGCUGAUAAAUGAGGAUUUUAACCGAUUAUUUGCUCUCUUUUACUUGCGUUUUGGGCCUAAAUGCGUGAAGGCAUUCCCGGAAACUAAUGUAAUACGCUUUCUUGCAGGAAUUGAUCAAAUGAGCCAAAUGAGGCAUAAUCAACUCAUAAAGGAGUCAAAACUGGAACAAAAACAAAAACUGGGCCAAGAGACCUUAAACGCGGUCCGCACAAAUAUUGUGCGGCUGCGGAAGCCACAACGCGGCCGCAAUCACAAAUACACGGUCAGCAAAGUGAAGAAUCAGAGAGUGCAUUUUUAGGACAAAUGUUAAGCGAGGUCCACGCCAGAAAUGUGAGGCUGCGAAAGUUGCACCGCGGCCGCGAUUGGAAUUAUGCGAACUGCAGUUGCUGAAGUUCAAAGAGUUCACAUUUCAAGCAAAAAACAAGGAGUGCGGUCCGUGGUAGAAUUACACAGCCGUGAAAAUCCACUACGCGGCUGCGAUGGAAAUUAUGCGGCCCACGAAACAAACUUCAUCGUAGAUCCAUAAGUUAAAAACACGGACCGCGGUAAGAAUUAUGCGGCUGCAAAACCUCUACAGGGGUAUUUUUGUCCGAAAGUUUUAGCUUAAUAUAAAUAGAUCUUUUUGACAUUUUUAGGUUAGGUUUUGUUUUAGCUGAGCAAGUGAGAUGACUGUAAAUUCUGUUUUGGGCAAUUUUAUACUAGAAUUAUCUCUCAACAUUAGAUUUUUAUCUUUUAAUCUAGUAUUAUGAGUUUUAUCUUUAUUUCAUCUUUGAUAUCUGUUAUUUCCAUGAGUAGCUAAACCUAUAGCUAGGGUUGUGACCCAACCCUAGUGUGGGUAUUUGAUGGCUCUUAAAUUAUAGGACUUGAAUAUGUAUGGGUUAGUGAUAUUUAGCCUAGUUCUUGCUAGAACUAUUGAAUUAAUGGUUGCAAACACUGAUUUAUGCCUUUAUGACUUAGUCCCUACUUGAAAAAAAGGGACUAAGUCUAGGAAAACUAGGCUAACAAGAAAUUGGGGUGAACUCAAGAAAUUGAUAGCCCCAGUUAAAAGGUUAAACCUAGAGAUGGUAACACCUGACUUGAGUUAAAAUCACUUGAAUUGCAUGAAUACACAUUUGGACCUGAGAAAGCCAAAUUGGGCAAAAUCACUCAAACUACCGAGAGGUACAGAGUGAGUACCCCGGGCGUGAUAGUUAUAUUACGACCUCAAUUAACCACAUGAUUGCCCUAGAUUCUUUCUACCCGUUAGAUAUCCACCUAGGUGGAAGUCACUACCCUAGUCCCUUUAAACCCUUGAAAAUCAACAACAAAAAUAUUGUACUUAGUUUCGAAUAUUGCUUGCUAUAGAAUAGAAGUAGAAGUAGAGAACAAACGAAACAUUUAUGGAAGUGUAAUUAGAUUCAAAACCCGCAUCUAGAUUAGAUAUAAACUUAAUUCCAAUUAUUAACUCCUUGUGGAUUCGAUCCCGACCUAGUUGGGUUAAAGCUGCAUCGGUCACCUCUAUACUCAAUAGUAGUGUAGGCUUGGACCCGAUUAAUUUUUGGCGCCGUUGCCGGAGAGUUAAAUGGUUUUAGAUAUAUAUCUGAGUAUUUCUAUGUUUUGUUUUUCUUUCCUUCCAUUUUUCUAAUUUGUGUGUGAAUUGCCCUUAGUACCAAAUGGCACUUAACAAUGAAGCCCUUGGAAAUUUGCCAUUGGGGGAGGAGGUAGAUAAUGAUCACGUGGAUGAGAUUCAACCUGAACCUCAAGCACAAAGGAGAGGUCGGCCACCUCAUGAUAAUAUUCCAAACCCUCCCCUAUCUCCUCCAAGGGCAGCACACAGGGUGUUGCCCAACGAAGGCUAUGCAAGUGCAAUAGUCCCGCCCUGGAUUAGGGCGGGCAGCUUUCAAAUAACCAACGUCAUGCUUACACUCUUUGAACAGAGGGGUUUCUUUACCGGAGCUCCACACCAAAACGCCUACAAGCAUCUCAAAGGUUUUGGUGAUACGUGCUGGGGGAGCAAGCAAACUAACGUCUCUGAGGACGCAUUUAGGUUAAGGCUUUUCUCCUUUUCUCUAAGGGGGAAGGCUUUGGAUUACCUAGAAAGGUUGUCCAACCAUUCCAUCACCACUUGGGAUGAGUUGGCCGAGAGGUUCAUCGCAAAGUUCUUUUCUUCGGGACAUAUGAAAAUGCUAAGAGAUGAGAUCCUUCCUUUUAAACAAGAGCUAAAUGAACUGCUGUAUGAGAUUUGGGAAAGGUAUCGGACGAUGGUUAAAGAAUUUCCAAAUAAUGAUAUGACCGAAACCAUGAUCCAACAAACAUUCUAUUGUGGCAUCAAUACAACAAACCAAUGUAUGGUUAACCAACUCACCGAGGGGAACUUCAUGAACACGCCAUAUGCCGAAGCAUGUAAAAUACUUGAUGAGAUGGCGGAUACCUCUUCGGCAUGGAAAAGUUGAAUUAAUGUGCCACAAGGUGACCCUAAUGUUAUUCACCUACAUAAGGAGCUCCAAGACCAUGGCCAAGCUAUAGCCGAGUCCACUACUACCAUGAACCAAUUGGCCAAAGCUAAAUUGCAGCAAGUUCAAGGGCCAAAACAAGUGAAUGUCAUGGAAGGAGUGAAUAUGAUGCUCAACAAGAGAAGGCAACGAGGUCAACAAGUUCAAAACAAUCUGGAUCAAUUUGAGAAAAGUGGUAGUGGGUACAAUCAAGAUAAUUCAUAUGAUGAUCAAAGUGAAGCUGGAUGCAGGCAGCUACAUCAAAGUUAUUUGUCUUAUCCAGUGCAGUAGCAGCACAGUCAGCCCCAACACAGCUUCAAGUACCUCUAUCAGUGGAGGAUUCAUUGAAGGAGCUUUUGGACAAUCAGAAGAAGCUCCUGGACAACCAGAAGAAGAUCCUGCAGACUUUGGAUACACAUGGAAAGGUUAUCAAGGAUCUGGGCAAGCAAGUGAAGAAGAUGAAGAAGACUCAUGCCUUAAAGGAGUCAGUGGAGCUGCUGAAAAAAGAGGUGGAGAGGUAUACAUCGGCUGGAGACAUCCCACUAAACUUGCUCAUGGAGGAGCAAGCCCCAGUAGCACAGGCAGCAGAGCAUGAGGCACCAGCAGCUGGCUAGUCUAAGGAGUCGGCUGCCACUACACAUAAUGCUGAGGAGAUAAUCCAGAUGCUCCGCAACCCCGUGGUCCCCCAGUCAGAGGAUUUGGAGAUCCAGUUAGAGGACCCGAAAGGAGCUACUGAUCCUAUGCAGUCCGAGGACCCCACUCAUGUGCCUGACCCGAUGCAGACAGAGACCACAUAUGGAGUUUUUCUUUACUCUCUAAUCCUUUCCCCGAUCCUAUUUUUAUAUUAGCAUUAAGGACAAUGUUGUUUUUUAAUAGGGGGUGGUCCAUUUUGAUUUGAUGAUUUGAUGACAUUGGCAUGUAAUAACUAUGAUACUAUUUUUCUUUAUCUUUACUUCUUUUUAUUUUUACUUUUGGUAUGUACAUAUUUGUUAUUUGAUGUAUAUAUUCAUUUUUAUUUAUGUAUAUAUUCGCUUUACUUCAAGUUUGUAUAUAUUCAGUUUGAUUUUUGUAGUUUACUUCAUAGCUUCUUAUUUCCUUUAGUAGUUUCUUUUUAAGUUGUUAGCUUCUUUUUAUGUUUUAUGUGAACAAUAAGCCUUUGGUUUUCUUAAUGCCACGGUUCUUUCCAAAGGUAGAUGUUGUGUGAACCGGGUGGCUCUUCUCGAUGAUGGAUGGCAUGACAACCUUCUUAAGGGAUUGAGCCCGUUCUUCUUUUUGCUUUGAUAUGUAGUAGUAAUGAAUAAAAGUUUCUCAAGCAUGCUUCACUUGGGCCUAACACAUUUACCUUCAACCUUAUGGUAAGAAACAAGUUGAUUGGCAACGAAUAGUUCUAGUGUGACCUUUAGGCUCUUGUGUUGACUAAAACAAUCAUCGAGUGGUUUAUUUGAGCCAUUUGUGAUGUUCAAUAUUAGCUAGGGUUGUUCUGGGCCCUUGACUCUGCCUCUUUAACAAUCUAGCAGCUUGAGAGGUGAGGUAUUGAAUUGCAAGUGCAAGUUCUGUGCCAACAAGUCUAGAACUUGCCCUGAAUGUUUGUCUUGGCGAAAUUCUAAGUGUAGCUCGACUUGAGAAAUGAUUGUAGGCUCUCCUUGAUCCAAAUUUGAAACUUGAAAGCUUCCGUAGCCUACCAAUAUGAUAUCCCUAGUCAACCCCUUUUGAGCCGAAGCCUUUUUUCUUUUAAUAACCAUGUUACAAGCCUUUAUCCGUUUUGUGAUGACCCUCUCUUAGCACUCGAUCUUUCCUUGGCACUAAUGACAUACAAGUAGCUAAAGCACAAGUUUGGGGGAGAGAUGAGGAAUGUGAAAGUGAUAAAAGGUACAAAUAACAAAAAGAAAUGAAGAAAAUGGAAGGCAAAGGAAUAGAAAGAAAAGCCAAAAAGAAAUAUGUCAAAAAGAAAGUGAAUAAGAUAGAAAAUUGAGGGAACUCAAAGAAAGCAAUGAUGAAAGACAUGGAAUGAUUAGAAAAGGAGAAAAAUGAGCGUCAUGAGCAAGAAAGAGUGACAGUGUGUCUCUCUAGUUUCCCUAAGGAUGAAGAAAAUGACUCAAAGAGUCAAGAAAGUAUGAGCCGAAAUGAGAAAAUGGAGUGCUUAAGGAAAGAUGAAACCAUUAUAUGCCAAUAAGUCCUCCCUUGAUCCAAAUAGCCUUCAUUACAUUCCCACAAAAGCCCUAUAUGAUUCCGAGUUGAGUGAGCUUACAUUAGUGGUGAUUUACAUAAGGGCAAGCUUAUGGUACUUAGAGACAGACUUGUGACAUUCCCUUGAGAGAGAUGAGCGUACUUCUCCACAAUCUUUGUUUUGAGUGCUACAAUCUAAAGUGAGAUUUGCUUAUGGAGAGUAGAGGAGGAAGUAUUUGGGUUCCACAAUGAUCUACGUAAUGGAGCGAGCUGCCUUGGUAAAUUAAGUCAACUCUUGAUGCUCUAAUGUCGCAUUAGAACUAUGGUACUCAAAAGGCUUUGUGUUGUUGAUAAUUCAAUUCUAUUGAGGGUAAUUGUUAGUCCCAAUUGAUGCAUGAUUGAUUCGCAUUAGGACAGCUGAAAUAUCCUUCUGUUUUGUUUUAGUGGAGGUGAGAAUUACCUUAUUUGCUUGAGGAUAAGCAAACACUUAAGUUUAGGGGAGUUGAUAAGUGGGGAUUUUAACCUAUUAUUUGCAAAAAUUGAUCGGCUCCAAGCCUUUAGUACUAUUGAGUAGAGAGGAAGGUCGAUGUAGUUUUACCCAACUAGGUUGGGAUCGAAUCCACAUGGAGUUAAUUUUUUUGGAAUUAGAUUUAUAUCCAAGUCUAGAAGCGGGUUUUGCUCUUAAUUACCCUUCCACAAGUGGUUGGUUUGUUUUCUACUUCUACUUCUAUUCUAUAGCAUGCAAUAUUUGAAACUAAGUAUAAUAUUUUCGUUGUUGAUUUUCAAGGGUUUUAAAGGGACUAGGGUAGUGACUUCCACCUAAGUGGAUAUCUAACGGGUAGCAAGAAUCUAGGGAAAUUAUAUGAUUAAUUGGGGUUGUAAUAUAGCUAUCACACCCGGGUACUCACUCUAUACCUCUCGGUAGUUUGAGUGAUUUUGCGCAAUUUGGCUUUCUCAAGUCCAAAUGGAUUUUCAUGCAAUUCAAGUGAUUUUAGCUCAAGUCGGGUAUUACUAUCUCUAGGCUUAACCCUUUAAUCGGGGCUAUCAAUUUCUUGAGUUCACCCCAAUUCCUUGUUAACCAAGUUUUCCUAGACUUAGUCUCUCUUUCUCAAGUAGAGUCUAAGUCAUAAAGGCAUAAAUCAGUGUUUGCAAUCACUAAUUAAUAGUUCUAGCAUGAACUAGGCUAAAUAUCACUAACCCAUAUAUAUUCAAGCCCUAAAAUUCAAAACUCAUCAAAAACCCAUAGCUAGGGUUGGGUCCAAGGCAGAACAUGGCGAAUGUCUCUUAAUAUACUUGGUUGUAUCCGACGUCGCAGUAAGCGCAGUCUUGGUCCGUAAAAAUAAAGGUACGCAAUCUCCAAUCUAUUACAUCAGGAAAAUCCUGGUCGAUGCCGAAACGAGGUAUCCCCACCUCGAAAAACUGGCUCUGGCAUUAGUUGUAGCUUUACGAAAGCUUCGACUCUAUUUUCAAUGCCACCCCAUCUCGGUGGUCACGACCUUCCCUCUAAGAAGCAUUCUACAUAAACCCGAGCUGUCGGAUAGAUUGGUCAAGUGGGCCAUCGAAUGAAGCGAGCACGAUAUAAUAGAUCAGCCGUAAACAUCGAUAAAGCCGCAAGUACUCGGCUACUUCAUCACCUACUUCAGUGCCAAAAUAAUGCCUGAGGUCGAGCGGGAAGCCUCCCGUACCUCCCUCAAGUUAUCCGACCUAUGGGUCUUGUACACCGAUGGUGCCUCCAACGUGUCAGGAUCUGGACUGGGACUAAUGCUCGAGGUCCCACCAGGCGAAGUCAUCCGCCAGUCCAUAAGAUAUCCCAACAUGACUAAAAAAGAGGCCGAGUAUGAGGCCGUAAUUGCAGGACUAAAAUUAGCUCUCAAGUAUAGAGCAUGGCGAGUCAUCCUCCAAUAUGACUCAUAACUCGUCGUCAACCAAGUCACAGGGACUUUCCAAAUCAAAGAACAAAGGCUACAAAAAUAACAGGCAAAAAUUCAUAAGCUACUGCUAGAGUUCGACGAAUGCCAACUCGACCAGAUACCUCGAUCACAAAACAUCGAAGCAGACGGCCUCGCCAAAUUAGCAGCGGCCACCAAGAACAUAAGCAGAAAAGAAAAUGUGGUCACCCUCAUUCGUUCGUCAAUAGACCAAAUUGAGGUACACAUUAUAAACUUGACUUGGGACCGGUGCAACUAUAUUAUAUCAUAUUUGCAGGACGAAGUGCUCCCACAGAACAAAAAAGAAGCCAAGAAGCUUCGAAUACAGGUGGUCAAAUACAGAAUCAUCUACCAUGACUUGUACAAAAGAACGUUUGGCGAUCCCUUGGCGAAAUGCCUAGGACCAAACCAAACUAGACGCGUCCUCGAAGAAGUACAUGAAGGCCACUGUGGAGCCCAUACCGGUAAUCGAGCCCUCGUUAGAUGCCUCAUACGGGCAGGCUAUUACUGGCCCACCAUGAAAAGGGAAGCCGCCGACUUUGUUAGAAAGUGCAAACAAUGCCAAAAAUACGCUCCAAUGAUCCACCAGGUGGCGAGCACCUCCACUCAAUCACAUCGCCUUGACCGUUCAUCAAAUGGGGGAUGGACAUCGCCGGACCCCCUCCAGCAUGAUGAGGUAAUGUACGAUUUCUCUUUGUUUUAACUGACUAUUUUUUCAAGUGGGUAGAAGCAGGUGCAUUCGCCCAAAUACGCGAAUAGGAAGUUAUCACAUUCAUAUGGAGAAACAUCAUAUGUCGUUUCGGCAUCCCCAAAGAAAUCAGUUGGGACAACGGACCGCAAUUCACCAAAAUAAAGACCGCUGAAUUCUUCGAGAAAUGGCACAUCAAGUGAAUACUCUCCACGCCAUAUCAUCCCGCAGGCAACGAUCAGGCGGAGUCCUCUAACAAAACAAUACUGAACAUCAUGAAGAAGAAGCUUGAGGACGCCAAGGGGCAGUGGCCAGAAAUGCUACUGGAAGUGCUAUGGGCAUACCGCACCAUGCUAAAAUCAAGUAUAGGAGAAAUGCCAUAUUCACUAGUCUAUGGGACUAACGCAGUGAUACCAGUCGAAGUCGGGGAACUCAGUUUGAGAUAAUCCAACAAGGGCAGACCAAGUAAUGAUGAAAGCAGAAAGCAAAACCUCGACGAAACAGAUGAGCGAAGAGACAUGGCCCUCGUAAGAAUGAUAGCUCAAAAACAGCAAGCAAAAUAGUACUACAACAAAAAAAAUAAAGUUAGACCACUCAAGGUAGGGUACUAUGUACUCGAACCCAAAAUACAAGCGAGCAAAGACCCACGAAAGGAAAACUGGGAACCAAUUGGGGCGGACCAUAAAAAAUCACGGCAACAGCAAACAAAGGGUCAUUCCAACAUGAAAUAAUGGAGGGAAAACUACUACCAAACAAUUGGAACGUCGCCACCUCAAAUACUUCAACAUCUGAAAACGAAUGUCCUCCGAGUCAUACUCUUUUUCCCUCACCCGAGUUUUGUCCCAAUUGGGUUUUCUCGGGGAGGUUUUUAAUGAGCCGAUGAAGAGGGAGUCUCGAAGUUUAGGUAUUAAUUUCAUCGCCCUGCCUAUCGACUACUUCUCUAGGCCGAGCUAUGAAGGGACUAGGUAGGCUGGGACUCCUUGAAUGUAUGUACAGUCCAAAUAGAAACAUGUAAUAUUCUCAAAUGAAAUAAACAAAGCAGUAUAUGACAUUCUUACACAACUCCACCAAAUUUAAACAUCAUGCCAAUGAAAAUGAAAUGUACAUUCGACCUCGCUCGAAUUAACUUACAUUCGACCUCAUUCAAAUUAACAAAGGAAAUGUACUUUCGAUCUCGCUCGAAUGAUUUUCUAAGCCUACAUUCGACCUCGCUCGAAUUAGUUUACAUUCGACCUCGUUCGAAUUAACAAAGGAAAUGUACAUUCGAUCUCACUCGAAUUAUUUUCUAAGUCUACAUUCAACCUCAUUCGAAUCAAUCUACAUUCUACCUCACUCGAAUUAACUUACAUUCGACGUCGUUCGAAUAAAUAUACAUUCGACCUCGCUCAAAUUAACAUACAUUCGACCUCGUUCGAAUCAAUCUACAUUUGACCUCGCACGAAUUAACUUACAUUUGACCUCGUCUGAAUCGAUCUACAUUCGACUUCAUUCGAACCAACUUACAUUGGGGACUUUCUUACAAAAGAAGACUCACGGGAAAGAAAAAAGAAAGAAAAGCCAAAAAUACACAGCAAAAGACAAUUGUUCCAUGUCAAUCAUUUCAUUCCAAUACAUUUUACAAAGGGCUUGAAAGACGCCCCCACAAAAAGAAAACAGCAUAACACAAAAAAUAAAAACCAAGUACAAAGACUUCACGCCGCAUCGUCCCCCCAUCACCGAUGUCAUUGGCAUAUUCAUUGAUGUACCAAGGGUCAGAGGCAAGCCCAUCUAAGGCGCCUUCAUCAUCGUCCCCGCUGGGCAUACUUGGAUCAUAACCAUAUGUGUCACGAGCUACACGUGCCUUGACACGAACAUCCUCAAAUUCUGCCUCGAAAAUCUUUCCAGCCGUCUUUAGAGACCUGUAUAUGUCAAGUUGGGCCUCAGCAUGAACCCACACUUCAUACAACUCCCGUGACACACCGGGAUCAGUAGAAGUAUGAGAAGUAGACGGCUAGGCCAGUUGUUACGCCUUCUCGGCUCUUAGGGCGGCAACCUGCUCAUUCAGCUCAAACAGCUCCGCCUCCAAACCCCCAAUCUGCUCUUCAAACCUUUCCUCCUUGAGCACCGAAUUUUCCGCCUCAGUAGCUCGCUCAGACCUGCAAACACGGAGGGUUCCCCCUAGGGUUGCCGCCUCCGCCACAGCGGCCAUUCUGGCUUUCUCAGCUUGGCCCAACUCUUCGAUCCUGGUACUCAACUCACCCCUCAAGUUGACAUAUCUUGUUUUGCUCUGCUCUAGCUCGACCCUUAAAGACGCCACAUGCGCCUGAAGGUCAGUAUUCUCAACCAUCACUCUCUUGCUCACCUCGAGCUCAUCCUCCUUAGCCCUCAGCGCCCCCUCAAGAACGCUACAUCUGGCGUUGGCCCUCAUAAGCUCCCCGUCCUUCUCCCUCAGCUCCUCAUCCAUCUGCUUGAGCCUAUCACGAAGCAUCUGAAACUGAUCGUCCUUGCUAAGUAAGUUGACUAACAUUUGGUGCUUAGAACGGUACUCUCUGUACUUGGAUACCAUCUUCUUGAAGAGGGUCGUCCUUCGCUCUUCCCGCCAAUCACGCUCAAUCUCCAUGAUGAGGGUUUAACACGCAAAAGAAGACAGGUCAGCAGAAGUAAACUACACAUACGAAAUGAACUAACUUAACAUGGGAAAAUCAAGCUUACUCGCAAGGCCAUACCAGAUAUACCCAAUGAUAGAUCUGCAUCCUUUAGCGUCUGCAGCAUCCUAUUCUCACAGUCCGCACACAGAGGAGCGAAGGCUGGCACUACCCGUUCCGAGUUAGCUAAGAGGUUAUAAUCUAUGAGGAUGACUAUGUGCCGAUCAGGUCUCUCCAUCUUUAUCUCCACUUGGGUGAACCUCUACCCAGAAGCCUGCAUCUCCUCAGGGUUAAUAUCAGAGCCCGACCCAUCAUCUUCUACGAGGACGGUUCUAUCCCUCCUGUUCGCUGAUGAUGAUCCGACCCAGGUUGUUCGUGCAGGCUCCCCUCUAUCGUAGGUCCCAUCAACCUCUGACGGCCUUUCCUCUAUGACUAUAGCCAGCGUGGAAGCAGCCUCAAUGCCGAGUAAGGGCGUCGCCUCCACAUCCAAAACAAUGAGCAUUUUCGGCUCGGCAUCAACAGCACUGACCCUUCCGGUCUCUACCCUCUGACUUUUCCUCGGUACCGCCUAUUCCUCAUCAUGAGACGAAUCGUCAAUUAGUUGCAAGAUAGGGUGAUCAGAGGUCUCAACCGACAUAACGGAUCGCGCUACGGCAGAGCUAGAGUUUGACCCUUUUGUACGGACUCAACCAGUACAAAUUGUAUUCCAACCACAGUGACAACCUGACGUAAUGCAGGCACCAAAGCCUUUGCCUUCUUGGAAGCUCGCCGACCUGGCAAAAAACGAAAAUCAUGUUAAAAAAAUGAAAAGACGGUGAUAAGAUAUAAUGAAGAUGAAAGGGUCGUGGAAGUGAGAAUCAGACUUACUAGUCGAAGGCUUAGGCCUGAACCGCUUGUUAAAGGAUGCCCAGUAGCGAAUUUCCACAGUAUGGGGUAAGACGCGAGUUACCUAAUCUUCAAUGUCAAGAACCAGGAAAGGUGGACGCCUAACAGCUGAAAGUAGAAAGAUAUGAGCAAGUCAGAAAUAAAAAAGAUGGGGGAUAACAAAAUAUAUAUAACAGACGGUAAAAGACCCUUGCUGUUGAAGUUCCACUGCUUGGGAAAUCCAGCUGGGUCCACCAUGGUCCUAACGAAGAAGUAACUGCAUCAGAAUCGGCGGUUCUCUUUGUCAUCCAUCCUUGUCACCAAUCCUUUAGUUCCAUGGUGGCGGAGAUGAAUCAGCGUGCCUCUAUAGAAACUAGGUGAGAAGAGAUGUAGUAGAUGACGGAUGGAGACUUCAAAGCCGGUCAACUCUACGAACUUCACCAACAUCAAAAAAUACUUUAUAUAAGUAGGGGGAAAGCUGUGUCGUGCAGACGCCAUAAAAGUAGCAGCACUCCUCAGCUAGUGGGGGAAUAGGAAGAGAGUAACCCACCAAAAAUGGGUAGGCAUAGAAAGCGCAAUAUCCAGGUUGGUGGACUUGUACCACUUCAUUACCCGCCGGAACAAUAUCGAUGUGAGCAAGGAUACGAAAUUUAGAUCGGAGAGCGGAUAUUUGUUUCGACCCCAUAUUUGAUAGUACCUGCUUAAGAGCAGGGGCGUGAUCUUUUGAGAAGUCAUUUCUGACCGACGGGUUUCGGGGAACAACCUCCUCCACGGUGGAAAAACUUUCGUCUUCCACAAUCGUGGGCUCACCGCCACCAGAAGGCAUGGCCACCGACAAUGGUGUGGCAUCGGAGAUUAUGUCAAAAGUGUGAUGGGAGUUUGUCAUUUCUGCAGUAACAUGUAUAGAGUAGAGUCAGAAGGAGAGUACAAUGGGAAAAGAAACCAGAAGAAAACAACAACAACAACAACAACCUAGUAUAAUCCCACAAGUGGGGAAAAGAAAUCAGAAGCUAGAUCUAAUAAAAGAAGGAAAUCAGAGAUAAGGGUUAAGAAGAAGCAUAAGAACAAGCAAAGUGCAAAUGGAAUAUGAAGUGCGAAAAGUUUCAUUUGUGAAUCCUCGUUCCUCUAUUAAUAGGAUAUUGUGGCGCCCAAAUCGAUGCAAGAAAUGUCAUUGACACCAAAAUCAAAGCAAUAGAGGCACUAGAAACAAUGCAUUGCACCGGGAAGAUGCGUAAUGAUGAUGCGCGUGGCCAUGAUAUCAUCCUUAUGUCAGCCACGCCAACCACAACCUUUGAUCUGAUCCGUCAUCAAUUCGACAUCGACCAAUUCAGUUCAUUCACCUCGGCGGAAUUUCUUGUGAUUAGAUGUAGAUAAAAUCUGCUUAUCGAGGAAUCCCAAGAGGACAACCCCAAUAAGUGGAGGGACUAACUGUAUGGGUCAAAAUUAGGUCGAGUUUAGUGAGUGCAACGGAUAAGCUUAGGCCGAGGUCGAAGCCAAGCACGGCCCAUUGGCGAGGAGUCUCCCAGAGAGAGAGAGAGACCAGCGCCAAGGUCGAGUAGAGAACAAACAUCAGCAAUGGAUAGAAUAUUCUUAGGAUUAUGAAUAGGAAUAUUCCAUUGAAUAUUCCCCCAAUUGUACUUUUUUAGGGUUUUCUAGAGAUAUCCCUUAUAAAUAGGAAGAGAUAGGGAACAAAAAGAGGCUUCUGGACUUUUUUGAGAGGAACAUCUUGUAAAAGGUUGACUAUCAAGAAUAUAUAAAAAAAACUUGUCUUGUCUCCUCUAUUUGAUUCUAUUGCUAGACAUUCCUCUUUUAUUCAGAAGAUCCAAGAACACUUUAUUCAUUUCCAUAGUCAGUUGUCACACACUAUAGUUAGAAGAAGGAAUCAUCCAACUCAUUCAACAUUUGGGUGACAAAUUUCUUCUUACUACAUCUAAUGCCAUUUGUCACAUUUAUUGCAUGUUUUCAUUCUCAUAUUUAUUGAUAAUCAUUGAGCAUUAACUUGGCAUUCAUUGAUUUGAACACGGUCUCGUACAAUCAAAAUUAUCGAACUUUAAAUUUAGGAUUUAUUAUAUUUAACUAGGAUUCACCCUUUAUCUACUUAUUAAAUUGGUUUAACAAAAAGGGCCUAAAACUUUUUGGUCAAACAAUAUUGUUACGCCCCGCAAUAUAACGUCGAUAUUACGUCCUGUAGUAUUAUAUUACGAUGAUGUUAUGUCCUGCAGUAUUAUAUUACGGUAAUGUUAUGCCUUGCAAUAUAACAUUACGAUGAUGUUAUGCUUUGCAGUAUUACAUUACGAUGAUGUUGCACCCUGAAGUAUUGUACGUUGAAUUUAUCGUAAGGUAAUUGACAUCAGUCCAAGAAAAAGAUUAUUUGGAGAUUAUAAGGAUUAUGCUAUUUCAAAUGAGUGAUGGGUAAAUUCAUGAAGGUGAGAAGGUAAGCAUAUCGAAGAAAAUGAAUUUCAUCGAAGUGUAACAUUUUGGGAUAAAAUAUGGCCCGAGCUAAAAUACCCGGUAUUUAUGGACUACUACCAUACAAGGUACCACAUGGCCGUGAUAGUAAGGUGUAUAAGGUAUGUUAAAAGUGGGUGGUAUUUUAAGUGAUUUGAGAUAAUUUUUAAUUAUGUGGAUAAUUGGUUAAUUAUUGGUUAAUGAGAGAUAAACAAGUUAAUCAAGUAAUUAGUGGAUAAUUAAUUCAAAUAUUUGGAUAACAAUUACAUCUCCCACAUGGCAGCAAACUCAUCAAAGAAUUGUGACUCAUAAGUCACUAUGUUAUGUGGCAAGUCUUAAGAAUGUGUGGCAUUUCCAUUUAAUAAAGGAAAGACACAUAUAACAUGAGUCAUAUCUGUUCUAUUCUUAAAGAAAGUUCUUACAUAUCCAUUCUUAAUGAAUGGUCUUAUAUCAGAAUAUUAGUGAGUGGAUAUUCAUGCAAGAAUUCAAGAAUUUAAGGAUUCAAGCAAGAAAAUUCCUUAUGCAUCUUAGCAAUGUUACUCUAAAGAAGCCCGGUAUAAUCUUUCUCGAGAAUAUUAUAUGGAUUUUUCCACUACUUCAAUUCGCCGUUACGCAUUGUCGCAAUCAACGAUGUUAAAGGGAUUAUCAAGAGAAUUAUUUCAGGUAUGUUAAGGCUAUUCCUUCUUUCCUUUUGGCAUGAUCCAUACGAUACAAAAUAAAACGAGAAAAUACACAACUUCCAUAAAUAACUCUAUUCAUAGAAGUAUUAGAAGUGCCUAUGUUCUUGAAUUCCCGUGUAUCUUGUCAUUCUAUCAUCUUUUCAUGAGUCUUAGAAAAAUAGUUGAAAAAAAAGUUUACUUCAUGAUAUUACUCAAAGGUAUAAUGGUCUUAUGACAUUCCAAGAGAUUUUAUUGACGUACUUCUCAUGCAUUGCAUUCAUGUACAUUGAACUAUGGCCAGAUGGCAUUAUAUACGUGUAUAUAUGUAUAUUAUAUAUAUGGGAUAUGGGAAAAGGUUACGGCAUUAUAUACGCACCACUACCUGAUCAGCUGGUAUACAUUGAUGAUUUGCCCACAGUGGCCGAGAUGAUAUGAUGGGAUUCCCUCAAGGGCUUGAAGAUAUUAUGAACACAUUUACCUAUACAUGACAUGAAAAUCAUACACAUAUGCAUGACACUAUAAUUAUUUCAUGAUUUACAGAGUUAUCUAGACUUAUAGGUUGAGUCAUUUACUCUAUAUUUCUUCCAUGUCUUUUAUGUACUUAUUUAUGUGCCUUACAUACUCGGUACAUUAUUCGUACUGAUGUCCCUUUUACUUGGGGACGCUGCAUUUCAUGCCCACAUGUCCCGAUAGACAGGUCGAGAGUCCUCCAGGUAGGCUAUCAGCUCAACGGAAGAUGUUGAUGCACGCCAUUUGCUCCAGAGUUGCUUGUUUGGUCAGUAUGAUUUAGACGUGUAUUGUUUGGUAUGGUGGGUCCUGACCCAACAUUUAUGAUAAGUAUGUACUCUUAGAGGCUUGUAGACGGAUGUCAUGUAUUCAGAUGCUUGUAUGGCCUUUUUGGCCUAUGUUUUGAAUUUACAAAUGAGCAUGUUGGCUUUAUAGGCCCGUAUUCACAUGUAUAAGUUUUUAUAUCAGGUUGGGUCGUCCUGUAUUGAGUAUUACAAUAUGUUUAUUCUGGCUAGCCCAUGACGGCCCAUUUGGAUCAUUUUCCAAUGAUAGUACAUUGAGAGAGAUGUCUAACAUUGGUACUCGGUUGAUUAAGGCACCGGGUGCCCAUCAUGGCCCAUCGUUUGAGUCGUGACAACGUUGGUAAUUAGUUGAGUAAGGCACCGGGUGCCUGUCGUGGCCUAUCGUUUGGGUCGUGACAAAAGUGGUAUCAAAGUAGUUCUGUCCUAGGGAGUCUACAAGUCAUGUCUAGUAGAGUCUUGUUUAUGGGUAUGUCGUGCAUCACACUUAUAAGCAGGAGGCUACAGGGCAUUUAGGACUGUCACUCUUUCUUCUUACUCUAGAUCGUGUGGUAGAGCUCGGUUGUAAGAACUCAAUUUCCUGAAUUUUAUCUUAUUCAUAAUAUGACGAUGCCUACAUCUAGAAAGACGUUUGGUAAGGGAUUUAAUGUGGAUGUGGAAGAAUUGAGUCAGAGGAACUCGAUUUUGCAUCAUGCUUGUGAUGAAUGUAAGGUCUCUAGCAGAACAUAAGGAUACUAAGACAUGCAAGCUUCUUGAUAAGGAUCUCUAUGGCAAUAAUGCCUAUCCACUUUUACGAUAACAAGGGAAAAGAGAAUCAGAAAGUAGACAUAAGUUCCAGCAAAUAACAAAAGCAAGGUGAAAAAGGGUACGAGGUACCCAGUUAAUAAAGAUUAUCGGUAUUUUCAAUUCAGGCAGAGGAAUAUAAGCCUUUUGAGUUACCUUCAACAGUAUCAGAGGUAUGUACAAUUUGCGACAUCGAUCUUAGUUAUGCCCUAUCAUAGAUAACAUAUAUAGUAUAAGAUAAAAAUGGGAUAUCAGGAUCCGGCUGAGGUUAGAGUGACCCAAAAUGGUGGAUGGAUUGUUUGCAUUAGUUGACAUUUCCUAAGCAUAUUGCAAAUGUGCUAAUAGAUCUCUUUGUGAGGCACCUAGAUGGUGCGUUCUAAAAUAGUACAGCUAAAUAUGAGUACUACAAAGAUAGGCACUGGAAGCCUUGAAGGGAUUAAUAUUACCUCAUUGUGGCUCCCAUCCCUAGUAGAGAAAGAAUGUUAGGCAACCCGAAGAGCCAGUAGAUGGAGCAAAGGGGAGCUAAAAGCAAAAAAAUAUCUUGUUGAAGUUUUCAGAAUAAGGUGAUAGACAGAAAUAUUAGCAGGGAGAUAAGAAGAGAGAUAAUGAAGCAUUAUGAGUAAGAUAUAAUACAUGGAUGACAACGGUAGAUAAAAAAAUAACAGUAUUACAGAGUCUUUAGUCAAGUGAAGGAAAAGACAAGAGGUGACAACCCUUGAGACAACAAAAGCGUAUAGGCCAUAAAGUCACAUCCUCAUUUCGAGAAAUAAGUUUGUGACUCCAACGCGACUACCAUAAGGAAAAGUUAGACCUAGAGUUAUGGAAAUCAGUGAGGGCUACUGAACAAGAUAAACUAAACAUGAGUUAGGGACUGAGUGAUUUGAUAAUAGUCGGCAUCUGAGAAUUUCAGGGAUUGCAUUCCGGCGAUAAUAGAAUGGACGACAGAAGAAUAACCUUUAAAGGUCAUUCAGGAGGACGCUUUACUAAAGAAAUAAAUAUGAGUAAAGUUAAGCUUAAGGGAAUAUAUGUGUCAGUUACACUAAGUGUUACCAUCGCGAGUAAGGAAUUUUGUUAUCCUUGGUACAGAAGGAUUACCGUAAGGCGAGUAAGGGUCAUCGAUGAUGUGAAAGGACACCAAAGAUGAAGAGGUAAAACAUCUAUAGGUAGGUCGUCGUAGCUCCAACUAUUAGUACUCCCCUAAAGGGGGAAAUAUGGAGUGAUAUGGCAUUAAGUCAGAAUUAAGUAGUUCUAGUAGCUAUGGAAUGGUAAAGGAAGAAUGUAAUAAAAAUAAAAAAGAGAUGAGAUUGCACUUGUUCAAAUCCUACCAGCAUGCUACAAUUCCAGAACAUUACGCAAACAUGACAUCAAGAAGAGGAAGUAAGGGUUCCUGCCUGAGAUGUUAUUGAUAGAUAAGGAGCCAGUGCGAGACGAAAGUGGAGAUAAAGGAAAUAACCCAAGAAACAUUAUGUGGAAUAUUGCUAUGAGAAGGGGCCAACGAGUAGUUAUUAAUUGAUUCAGGAAGGACCUAGUUAUGGCUAGACAAGAGGUUACAGACAAAUCAACAGAUCAUGCAAUAUAGACAUAGUGAACCCAACAUGGGGAAUUCAGUCUCGUAUAUAUGACAUCGUGAUCCUUGAGAAAUAUUCAGAUAGGAGUUAGGGUAGUUAAGGUACCAUAUGUAUUACGGAAAUAAAAGAGAAUGCCACUGGGAAGGUAGUCAAAAUAUCAGUUCAGAAGCAACCUUACAAGCACAAGGGCGUAGAGGUAAGUAAGUACAGAUAAUUAUAGGCAAGGAAGGACAUCAAAAAACUUCAUCGAGUAUACGAUGUAAUAAGCUCGCAUCUUUACAAGAGUCAGAGGGUCUUCUGUAAGUAUUACAAUGAAAGACUAGCUAAGGAAAUAAGGAAGAAGGAUGAAACCUAAGCACAGUGACCUAAAAAGGAAAUGGUCUUGUAACAUCAGUCUCACAACAACAUUGUAUGCACUCCAUAAGAAAGUGGCACCUACCGUGGUGUCACGCCUUGAGCCUGGGGGCGAGAUGGCACCCAGUGCCUCACUUAUCCUUGCAUACCACUUUCGACUAAGAGACUCUGAACAUGUAAUAUCAUACUUUGGCCAUGGGCCACAUUGCAAGAUAAUGUGCGAUGCAAAACAUAAAACUGAAUAGAGACUAAUGUUGACCAAAUCGUCAACAUAAAGCUGGGCCAGCAAGGCCGUCAUAAUUACUACAACUGACUAGCCAAAGAAAAUAUACGUACAAUGCCUACAAGCCCAACAUAAUUCACUAACUGACAGGAUAUAUCUACAAGUCUCUACUGAUAGAUGUACUAUGAUCGGAACAGGGGCCCGACCAACCCAUAACCUAUCUACAUAUAUACACAAGAUACAAACCAUACUUCUAGACCCGGCAACUCCGAAAGAAGGGGAGCUUACCGAUAAAGCUGAACUCGAGCAACACCUACAGAUGAGGUCUACCCGUCUAUCUGUCUCAACCUACAUGCAUGAAAUGCAGCGCCCUCAGAAAGGGAUGUUAGUACGAAAUAAUGUACCGAGUAUGUAAGGCAAUAUACUGAAGUUGAAACUGAACUGAUAAUAUAAUAACUGAAACAACUGGGAGUCAAGAAAAUUUGAAGAUAUGCUCAUCUGCUGAUACUGACUCAACUCUCUCAAUAUGAUGAGUAAAAUAGUUGUCCGGCCCUAUAAGGCUCGGUAUAUAUAUAUAUAUAUAUAACUGCUCUGUCGUAGUAGGCUCGCUUAAAAGUGGUCGGCCAUACUAGGCUCUGUAUCUCGACCAACUGGGCUUGCUCAUAAGCGCUCGGCCAUAGUAGGCUCGGUAUAUAACUUAUCAUCUGAUCAGAGGUUGUCCAAUAGAGGUCUGCCCAUCGAUUAUAGCUCGAUAGUAAUGAAAAUACUUUUAAUCCUGUAUAUAUGUAAACUCUCUGCUCUUUUGACCGGAAUAAGGAAAUACCCAACUGAAUAUGCAGUCCCGAUAAGAAGAAUAUAGUAACUUACAAAACUAGAAAAAUAUAUGUAAUUUGCGAGACUAGCAAAAUAUACAUAAAUUCCGGGAUAUGAAUUUUUCUCUAUGACUCAUUAUCAAACUUGUGUAAUGACACGAUCAUGGUAAAAUGAAGGAAAAGCUUAGCCUUAACAUACCUGUUCCCGGAAUUAUUUGAACGAAUCUGCUUCUGCGAAAUAUGGACGAAACUCACACUUGAAAUUUCGGACAACUUACUCUGCCUUUAACGUUUUUUGAAUGAAGUAUGGGAUAAGGAAUGAAUUUGUGUGACAUGCUCUUGAUCCUUCACGUUUUGGUCUUUUGACAGAAUGUAUAAGUUGUUCUUGGUCUUCAAAAUGAAAUGUUUAUCUCUUUUGAUUGAUAAAUCUUACAACAAAGUCUUGAUAAGACUUUGAAAUUUAACUUUUGACACAUGUAAAGCAUAAAUCAAUGACUCACCUCAUACAAAAAGGGGGGCUGCCAGGUUCCUUCUUAAGGGGUGAUUUUGUUAAUUUAUCCAUUUAUUAGUUAACCGAGUAAUGUUUCGUUACCCAAUAAUUAUUUUAUUACCCUCAUAAUUUAAAAAUUAUUACAAAUUACUUAAAAUUCUAUUUAUUUUCAAAAUACUUAAUAUAUACUUUAUAAAUUACACUACUGUGGUCAUAUGGUACCUUGUAUGGUACUAGUUUAUAAUUAUCGGGUAUUAUUACUCGACCCGUAUUUUAUUCCAAAUUGUUCAUUUUCAACGAAACUCGUUUUCGCCGUGUAACCCUUUAUCCUUCAUAAUACUUACUUAUCGCUUAUUAUAAAUAGCGUAAGUACGUUAACGUCAAGAUGAUCUCAUCCCCGCGUCUACGUUGGUUAACCAAAAAUGAAAUUAUAACGUACGAAAACGCGAGAUGUAACACGUGGAUAAUGAACGGGAAGUAAAAUAAAAAGAAAUACUCGAGAUCAUAUGAGUUGCACAAAAAUUCCGGCAUGCGUAGGAACUAAGACAAGCUAAGUAGGCACGCAACAAGGAGGCAGAAAGACCAGGAAAAGUAAUAGUUUACGUUUAAAGGAAGCUAAGAUGGAAUGAAAGAUAUUAUUCGAUCAAUGAUCCAAAGUUGGUUACGUUAUGAACGCACUUAAGGGUUCGGAGUUUUAUACAUGCAACAUAUACAGCCAUAGAAGAUUCUGGUAUACAUUAAAAGAAAGAAUUGAGCCCAGGUCAUAAACGAAUGAUUAAAUUGUUAAAGGAUUGUAUCAUGCAUAUUCCUCAGCGCCCAUAAAUGACUAAACAAAAUACUAUGAACCCCUGAGCGGGAGAUAAUUUAAGCCGACAUAAAGGCCAAUCAGAAGAAGGAGGAAACUAAAGAGUUACAUCAACGAAGUAAAUUAGGAAUUCGGUUAUUGGACCCAGAAAUUAUAGAAAUCGUGAUUGAGAAUAUUGCAGAAUUACUCUUAAUAUAAAAGGUACAAGGGAGAUAUUACAACAACCAUAUUCUAUAACGGCUCUACGAAAAAGCCAGUUAGAAGAAGUACUAGCCUCAUAAGAAGUCAGUAUGAAGCUCCCACCGAAUUGUGUAUGCCCAGAGGUGCAAGUAUUAUAAUAGAGCUUCAAGUUGUGAACGUGAAUUAUACCUAUGUAUAAAGGAGGUCAUGAAAGAGAUAGAAGAUACGAUGCAAGAUUUUAAGGUAAGAAAGGUAAAGGGGAACAACAUACAAGAUACUUAAAUGCAGAAGGUCGUGAAAUGUCCAUAUUGCGGAUAAAAGGCUAGAAAUGCGGGGAAUCAGUAUCCAGAAAUGAUAGCAGCGUCAUCACUGGAAUACUUCCCAACCUAUGAUUUCUAAGUACCGAAAGAUCUAAUUAGAGAGUAAAAGAAGAGUUAGAGACGAUGCGAUGUCUCGCUUGAUGUUCUAGAAAAUGCAUGGGAAUUGAUCGCAAGCUAAAAUAUGAUAAAACGACAAGGUUUUUAGAAAGACAAGAGUAAUUGAUCGCUUGAUGUUCUUUUUUUGUAUUUUUUGGAAAAUGAUGGAAAGUGCAAAAUCUUUAUGGAUUUUUCAUAUUCAAUUUUUAUUUUUGGUCUUUUCUUGAAAAAGUGUGAAAGAAAAUUAUAAUUGGGCCCUACUUUCUUUUUUUUCAUACUUCACCUUCUUUUCUUUAUCGUUUACCCUCAACCAUCAUUGGUCCACCAAAUGACCCUUUUGCCCUUUAAGAUUGCAACAUGUAGCACAUAGGAUGCAUCAGGAUGGUCUUGUAUUUUGGAUACACCUGUCCUAGACGGACCCAACCCCUGUGUUAAGUCCCUUAAGUCAAAUGCACGUGAUGCAAAUAAACGUUCCUACUAGGGAUCCGGUAUGAGAUAAUAUUAUUCUAAGUUUAAACCUGGGGUUGUGUUCUUGACCUGGCUUACCCGAGCGGACAACUCGAGCUAAAAUGGGGGCAACGUACCGAGAGCACGAAAGUCUACCCGGCCUUGUUGCUGGCCCAGUCUCGUUCUAUUUGGUAUAACUUCUAACAAAAAAAAUGGGUCACGCGAACGUGUGCACCGUUUUUUUUUUGAAGACUCAGAAGGGAGGCGUAAGAAGACAGUAUAAUACAAUUCAAAUAAUAUCAAAGUGGUAAAUAAGCGGCAAUUAGCACAUUAGGUUCACAAAUACAGUAAUAUCAACAAUAAAUAAAGCCAAGUAAAAAUCAUAUUAACAAGCUCGAAUUCUAAACCCUGAACCAGAAGUUCUGGGUUCUUAUCCCCAGCAGAGUCUCCAGAGCUGCCACACCUCCUUUUUUUUUACCCCCAAGGGGAUAUAAGUGAGUUUUUUCCAAUUUAAGUGACAAUCGAAAUGGGAUUAUCUAUAUUAAAUUCAGAGUCGCCAUUUGGGAUAAUUUAUGGUAUCCCAAGUCACUGGUUUAAAAUUCCGAAUCGAGGAAGUUGACUCUUUUUACGAUCUUAGAACACAGAAAUCUGGGUAAGGAAUUCUGUUAACCCAAGAGAAGGUGUUAGGCAUUCCCGGGUUCCAUGGUUUUAGCACGGUCGCUUUGAUCAUACUUGGCUUACUAAAUUGUUUAACUACUCAUUAUAGAACCUAUGUGUUUUCACCUCUUUUAAUUAAGAAAUUAUCUUAAAACAGGUCACGCGCACGUGUACCCAUAUGUUUUGCGCGUAAAAAAUCAUGUCACGCAUACAUGUCCACGAUCAAUCACGCUUUAUUAUUAUUAAGAAAUUUUGGUCGAAGUUGCGAGAAUGCAUGCCCUGAUUUUGUUUUUAGGAUCGCAAUUAUGUCACGCGAACGUGUACAUAAUCAAUAACAUUUUAUUACUAUUAAGGUUGUUUCGCCCAAAGUUGCGCGAGCGCAUACUUCGGUCUUAAUUUUGGAACCCAUAAUUAUGCCACUCAGAUGUUCAAAAAUACAUACUAAUAGGCACUAGCGAAUCUAUAUAGUCAAAAAUACAACUAAAAGUAAAAUGAAAUACAUCAUAUUUCAACUAAUCAAACCACUUAUUAUCAAUUGUAAAUGUCGAGGUCAUGAGCUACUGAUAUCUUACUAUAUCAUUGUCAUGCUACUUUAAUUUUGCGGUGUUAGCUUGUCACCUUUCUUCUCCGAAUAAUAAAUUCUUAAACUACAAGUAAGAGAAAAAUGGACCUCCCACAGCACAUUCAAACCAGAUUUCACUCCUAAGCCACUUUAACAUUUCCCACAGUCUUCACGUCGAAGAACGCUAGCUUGUUGGUUUUAAUCAUGAAUGAUGUCGGGUUAUAAACAACAACAAAAACUCAGUAGGCAUAAGAAAGCGACUAAAAUUGCACACAAUUGCUAGCUAGAUCUUUCCUUCUCACUCGACGCAUGAAAUAUGGACUAAGCAGACUUAAACCAACAGCGAUUUGACUAGUGUACUCAAAGAACUCUAUCAGUUCGUGACAAUUCCCAAACUAAGAAUGAAUCACCACAUAAAUAUAUAAGCAGUGCACGAGUAAUAUAAUCUCAGCAACAUUAUACAUCAAGCUAUGUGCGAAAUAAAGAUCUAAAGUAGAAAAUGAACUUUGAGUGAAGCAAUAUCAGAGUUGGAAUAUACAGAAGACCUUUAGGGAUUCGAAUAGCAGCUACUACAAUAUGAUAGAUCCACAAUGAAAAACCUCACCGGAACCACGGACAGAACUUCAUCAUGAACUCAAACCACUCAAACAAAUUCCAUUUUGGAGAAACAAAAAUCCAAAACUAGGGAGAUAAAAUAGAAUUUUUAAAUCGUACUCGUACUCGAGGCGUAAAAAUGGGGACCGGUCAGAUCUACAAUUGUUCCGGCGAACAAACAAGACCACGUCUAAAAACAGCUUUAAAGCUAAGCUGAAGAUAGCAGCAACAGUAACCAACUAAACAGUGAAAUGAAGGUGAAGCUCGACUUAAACUGAGCUUUUCAAUUAAUGAGAGCCUCCAACGUUACACAUUCGGUUUGGAUGCAAAAUUCCUAUGGCCUACGACGAUGACUAGAACCUGAACUGCGUACUCCGGUGAACUUCGGACUCUGACUUUGAAAGGACUCAAAUCCAAACCACAAAACUUAUCGGAGUUAGUGACGCUACUACCACGACGAUGAUGACACUAUUAGAUCUAAACCCGCCUGACAUAGAAGUGAAGCACACGAGAAUAGUGGUGAUGAAACAGUCCCCGGAGUAGUUUUCUGGUCAGAUCGAAACCAAAAUUUCUGGCCAGACCAUGAUUGAAAUGGCAGUAGAGGUAAAGAGAUCAGGAGUUCAGGGUUGGGGUUGUCUUUGUGUUGAACGGCUGGUUCUUCAAGAAAGGGGGUGAGAUGAAGAAGAAGAUAUUCGGAGGGGGGGUCGUUUGGUGUUCUGCGGCGGAUGUUUAUUUUCCUUUAUGUCUAGGUCUUUAAGCUAGCUCCCCUCUCUAGGUUAGAAUGUUAUCUAUAUCUAGAAUUAAUUAGGUUUUUAGGGUGUUGGGUUUAAUGGGUUUUUGGGCUUUAAAAUUGAAAUUGGGUUGGGUCCAUGUUUUAUUGGUUCUUAAUUUUGGGCUAAGAAGACUAAAAUAUAAAAAUAUAAAAUUUACUCUUAAUUAAUUAGAACACACUACUAGAAUAAAACUAGAUAUUAAAAGCAAAACUAAUUUUUUUCAAGAUUAUAUAAAAAUAAAAAUAAAGUACUAUUUUUGUAUUAUUUUUUUAAUUAAAUCUAUGAAAGAUAAACAAACUAAAAUAUUUUUUUAAUUUUUAUUUUUGUGACGAAAUAAAGUAAAAGGGUCAAAAUUAGUUGAAAUAGAGAUAUUAGGCCUAAACUAAAUAUUUACAUGCUAAAAUAUAAAAAAUCUUGGGGAGGGUCAAAAAUCACAUGUCUACAGCUGCCCACCUUUGACUGGGUACGCGAAGAGUUUUUAGACAAAGAACGACUAGACAGGUUUUUUGACCCGACCCUUAUUUAGGGAGUCAAAAAACUAAGAGGAAGGAGAAUGUGAAUGAGCCCUGGUAUCUUAGCUGCCUACAUAUCCUUGGCUAUAAAGGAAUCAAGUCACGUGUAGUUCAGAAUUAGAAAGAAUGAUGGAGUAUACCAAGAGGGAGAGCCGGUCGAGGUGUCGUUCCAUCCAGGUUCUGGUAUGUGGUCCUGUUAUUACAUCAAAAUCAAAAAAUGAAAAAGACUAACUACGUCUGUCAACUAUGAGUUACAAGAUUUCUAUCUAUAAGUCUUCUGAAGCUUGAUCUUGAGUCUUGAAUGGUUCUUCAUACAGACUUUAGAUUUGAACCUCGAUGCUUGCUAGCUGCAGGUGCUAGUUCAUUCUUCUUCGGAUCAAAACGGGACAUGCAAUGCUCGUGAUUUAAGCCAUCAUGUCUUGAGCAGUUCACAUCUUUCUAUACUUUUGCAUUUUGGAUUCACUUUUUUUUAUUCUGGAUUGUGACUAACUUCUGUUGAACAUCUCGGACUGUUGACUCACAUUCUUGCCGCGAACUUCUCCUAUUCUAACUUGAAUUGAAUUCUGAACUAUAUUCCCAUGUUCUCCAGGUGGGCGCCUGAUCGCCAAAAAUUGAACUUUAUUCCCUUGUUCUCUAGGUGGGUGCCUGAUUGCCAAAACUUGAACUGUAUUCCCUUGUUCUCCAGGUGGGCGCCUGAUUUCUAAAAACUUGAACUGUAAUUUCCUUGUUNNNNNNNNNNNNNNNNNNNNNNNNNNNNNNNNNNNNNNNNNNNNNNNNNNNNNNNNNNNNNNNNNNNNNNNNNNNNNNNNNNNNNNNNNNNNNNNNNNNNNNNNNNNNNNNNNNNNNNNNNNNNNNNNNNNNNNNNNNNNNNNNNNNNNNNNNNNNNNNNNNNNNNNNNNNNNNNNNNNNNNNNNNNNNNNNNNNNNNNNNNNNNNNNNNNNNNNNNNNNNNNNNNNNNNNNNNNNNNNNNNNNNNNNNNNNNNNNNNNNNNNNNNNNNNNNNNNNNNNNNNNNNNNNNNNNNNNNNNNNNNNNNNNNNNNNNNNNNNNNNNNNNNNNNNNNNNNNNNNNNNNNNNNNNNNNNNNNNNNNNNNNNNNNNNNNNNNNNNNNNNNNNNNNNNNNNNNNNNNNNNNNNNNNNNNNNNNNNNNNNNNNNNNNNNNNNNNNNNNNNNNNNNNNNNNNNNNNNNNNNNNNNNNNNNNNNNNNNNNNNNNNNNNNNNNNNNNNNNNNNNNNNNNNNNNNNNNNNNNNNNNNNNNNNNNNNNNNNNNNNNNNNNNNNNNNNNNNNNNNNNNNNNNNNNNNNNNNNNNNNNNNNNNNNNNNNNNNNNNNNNNNNNNNNNNNNNNNNCUUGUGAGUUUAAACAUGGUGGUUGGUUUGUGGCCUUGACUUUGAGGGCGAUUGCUCAUUCACUUCCCAUGAUAACUUUGAUUUCAACUUGAAAGGCCUUGCUUGUUUAUUGACUAACCACUUUCUCUGUCACCCUUAUCCCAGAAGAUUCCCUUGAUUCGUUCAAACCCAAACCCUCUAUCUAUUGCAUUGUGCACAUAAAUUUACAUAUACCGAACCUUUAUAUUUCACAUGAAUCCCAAAACCCAUUGAUUGUUACCAACUCAGUGCGCUAGCUGUUCUUUCCUGACGUAUGCCACUAGCCUUGGCUUUGAGGUCUGUUGCUCCUUUACUUGCCAUGAUAACUUUGAUUUCCACUUGGAAGACCUUUCUUGUUAUUGGUUAACCACUUUUUCUGUCAACCUUAUCACAGAAAAUACCUUUGAUCCGUUCAAACCCAACACCCUCUAUCUGUUGCAUUACUCAUGAAUUGACAUAUAUCGAACCUUUGUAUUUCACAUAAAUCCUCAAAGCACAUUGAUUGUUACCAACGCAGUGCGCAUGUUGUUCUUUCCUGACUUAUGCCGCUUUGAUGUGCUAGCCAGAUCCCGUUUUACGCAAUUAGAAAGCUGGUGGCAAGUUUUGAAGUCAUUUCUCACUUAUUCUGACCAAACAGACUCAGGAAGAGGAAGUAAACAAGACAAAAGGAAUAGAGUAAAGGACAAUGCAAAGAGAUGAUUCCUAACGAGAAAACUACAAAGUAGAAACUUAUCAGAUGUGGAUACCAACUCUAAUGACCAUGACAUGCACCUUUGGAUUAAGUGGCCUAAUCUGUCAAACAAGUCGGAUGUUCAACUCUUGUUAUACCCCUGAACCGUGAAACUGGGCUUCAAUGCUCCGAUUAUCCAAUCUGAUUCAUGAUCCUCAUUCGACUUGUAGUGCCCAAAGGGUUUUCACCAUCAAGCCUCUCUCAUUUUGUUCUUUCUCCCAACUCACCAUUGCCUUAUGGUGCCUGUGAAGGUUUUCACCAAUAAGACUCUCUCAUUUUGUUCUUUUCUUCUUAUUUCCUCUGAUUCUGCAGAUGACAAGGCAUUAACCAUGGUAAAAACAUUAUAUACUCUUGGCAUGUCUAAACUCAGAACUCUCAAAGAUUAUCUGGGAGGUCUUUUUUUGGACUGUAAUGUGGCUUUUGGACAUGGUUAGAAAGAAAGGAUAUCAUAAAAGCUCAAAAUAACUAAGACAAUGGGGUUAAUUUAUUUAUAACUUUUGGAAUCCAUUCUAAAAACUUUGCCCCUAUUUCUAAAACAAUGGAAUUUGAUUCUCUUUUUUCUGUUUUUCUUUUUGAUGGAGUUACUAAGAAAGACCGCCCCACUUUCGACUUCAUGAAAUUAUGAAAUAUUUUAUUUGGUAUGACCAAACCGUAAGGCUGCCUACGUAUCUUGCGGUGACAAGAAUCAGGUCAAACGUAGAUCACAAGACCACUUUUUGUGACUAUUUUCCUUUUUUUCUUUUUUUUUUCUCUUUUUCCUUCUUUUUUUUCCUUUUUUUCUCUUUUUCUUUAUCUCUAUUUUUCUUCUUCUUUUUUUUUGAAUUUUCCUUUUGGAAUGAACUUUCUAAAAUAAACCUAUGGGGACAUGAACUUUUUUUUCGUAUGACUCUAACUUGAUUCCAAAAGAGGGGAGGUUAAAGAAAUCAGUACGGGUUCAAAAGGGGACCGAAGGGUAUAAGUAUUUGGAUAGUUGAAAGAGGGCCUCCCAAUCUUUAAGAACACCAAGUAUAACACAUACAACUUGAAAUGAAAAAGGAAGAGCACACACAAUAUUUCUUUUAAAAUUUUGACAUUGAUAUCACUGAUAUGCUUUCCACUUUUCUUUUUUUAGUGCCUUGUCAAGUAUAUAACUCUCAUUGAGUGAUUUCUUCUUCACGAUGGAUACCCUCCGUCUGUUCGGAGAAAACUUUCUUGAUUUUAUUUUGUAACUUGAGAUGCAAUUGAACUCAAAGUUAUUUGCUUCAAAUUGUCCGGGAUGCACUUUCCUUUAACGAAUUAUUGUCAUCCUAUUAACUUCCCAAAUUAUCUACCCCAGUUUCACAUGGUUCGGGCUUCAAGUGAUCUCAAAAUUCCCAAAUCUGUACUUAUUUCCCUCAAGUGUCCCUAUUAUCCUCAAAAUUGUUUCAUUGAUUCAUGAUUAAACUAACUUUUAAGACCAUGCCUAGAAUUAUGUGUGCAUGUCAUGUCCUAGAGCCAGCAUGAAAAGAACUAUAAAAGAGAAGAGAACUUAACAAAAAAUGACUAGAAAUAACAGAAAAAAGAAAAUUGCAUUGGAUAGGCAGUGAAAGGGUUUGAACAACAAAACAAGCAAAAUAAACUGGGGUUACAAUCCUGGAAUAAACCUAGACAACACUAAACGAGUUACUACAACUGAACGAACUAGGAAAAAUAAAAGGAUAGAAGGGUUUGAGUCACAAGACAAUAUCUGGAUUAUAACCCUGAAAUAACCCGGUCAAUAGAAAUUACCAUAAAAUGAACCACCAAGACUCCUCCCUAGCUAGCCAAGAAAGGAGCAUCUUUCCAAUCACCAAGCUCAACAUCUUAGCCACUGAGUUCUGCAUCAACAGUACUAGGACCUUCACAAGUCUCCAUCACAUUGACCUUAGCAAAUUGCUUUUGGGUCCUUUUUGCCGGCUCGUUCUUAAGAUCAACUUCUGGAACCGAGGGUGAUAGCGGUGAAAACUUUGCGGCAAAUGGCCCUUCGAGGAUCUUAGAAGAAUUCUCAUAUUCCUUUUCAACACAAAUCAUACCCACCAUCUGCGUCUCAAUAUGAAUAGGUGAUGGACUUUGGCUAGUGUCUACUGCAUCUGGAUUUUGCACGACAAUGUCACCUGCAUUAAUAAGCUUCUGAACUGCUCUUUUCAGAUGCCAACACUUUUAUGUGAUGUGACCCGGGGCAUUAGAGCAAUAUGCGCACCUUUGAGAAUAAUCAAAAUUCUUUGGACGAGGAUUCGACAUUUUUAUCUGAAUCGGCUUCAACAUAUCCAAUUGCCUCAACUUUUGGAACAAACUGGCAUAUGAUUCUCCAAUAGGAGUGAAAGUCUUUUCUUUUUCCUGUUGCCUUUUCAUAUUGUACUCUAGCCUCGGUCGGAACCUUUUGUGGGUAGGUGGUUGAUAUGCUUGAGGAGGCGGGUAGGAUAUUUGCAGAAAUGGUGCAGGCCAUCGUGGGUCCUGUGGAUGUGGAGCAUAUAGUGGUGCAUUAUGGAUGGAGUACUGGGAAAGUGAGGUAUGACUGUGGGGAUUUUGUGGAGAGAAGUAGCAUUGGGGAGGAUUAUCUGGAUCACAGGGAUAUCCAUGGGGUCGAUACUGAGGCUAAAAGCGUUAAGCAGGAAUGCCUACUGGAUCCCGUCAUUGGCGGGGUUCAACAAUAUCUUUUCUAUUUCUCUUUGUUCCACCCAGACUUACUGAGAUGUUCUGAAUGUGUUCUGUAGUAUCUUUCAAUGCAGAAUAACUCAUGAUUUUGUCUGAUUUGAUUCCUUUCUCUACCAUCUCCCCCAUUUUUACCAUAUCAUUGAAAGGUUUACCCAAGGCCGUGAUCAAAUGACUGAAGUAGGUGGGCCCAUGGGCUUGUAGGAAAAGCUCAACCAUUUCUUCUUCACCAAUGGGGGGGCUGAAUCGAGCAGCUUGUUCCCUCCAUCUGAGCCCAAACUCCCUAAACAUUUUCUCGGGUUUCUUUUCCAUCUUAGACAGGGAGGAGCGGUCUGUGAUAAUGUCUAGAUUGUACUGAAAGUGUCAAACAAAAUCUUGAGCCAUGUCAUCUCAUACAUUCCACUUAUUGACAUCUUGAUGAGUAUACCAUUCUAAGGCUGCCCCAGUCAAGCUCUCACUGAAAUACGCCAUCAACAAAUCAUCUUUCCCGCUAACACUUCUUAUUUCACUGCAGUAACCCCUCAGAUGGGCUACUGGAUCUCCACGCCCAUCAUACCAGUUAAACUUUGGUAUUUUAAACCCCGCGGGCAGAUGAACAUCAGGGAACAUACAUAAGUCAUCGUAAAAUAUGUUAAUUUGAUUUCCCAUCCCUUGCAUGCUCCUUAAGGACUGUUCUAUACCUUUCAGCUUCCUAGAUAUCUCAUCUCACCCUUCUUUUCCUGUGAACUUUUCAUUUUCAACAUGAGGCUCAUUCCGAAAGCUAUGAUUAUAUGAGUCAGGGACCUUGUGGGCAACCUCUGAGGGGUAGUAUUGGGCCUCAAGGGGGUUGAAUUGGUGUUUAUUGUUGGACUUGAGGAGAGGUUGUUGAGAAGUUGUGAUCGUGGAGGUAGUGGAUAGGACAUAGGUAGUUGAAGGACGAGUGAUGGAGCUACUAGGGUGGUUGGGAAAGUUGUGAUAAGCGGGAGAAUCUGGAGAGUAAGGGAAAUCAUCUGGCACUAUGACCGGAGUUUGCGUAAGGGUAGCAUCUAGGAAGGUAGGUAGUGGAGGGGGUGGUGCCUUCCCAAUCAUCCCAGCCCGAUACAUGUCUGCCAUGUGUUGUCUUAAUAUCCUUACCUCUUCAACCAACCCAUUGUCAUGUUCAACCAAUUGCUUUUGGGCACCCAUAUCAACCAACUCAGUUCUGUUGUCAUCUACCAUUGCUUUUCAACUUUAUAUUGUAGAGAAAAGUUACCACUUUAAGAACCACAAACCAACCACCCUUCUGCUUUAUAACAAAAGGAACAAAAUGAGGUCAUCACGUUAGUGUUAGGGCAUUUAACGGCUAAAAAUAUCACAUUGCGUGUAAUGCACCUAGCAACAAGUAAUGGUUCAAGAAUGACUUCGAGGGUCACAAGGUCACUUGACAUCAUCCCCAUUUGUUCAAUUCAACCUUCUCUUUUCGUUGCUUUCCUAGCACUUCUUGUCUUGCUCAUUUUCCUUCCCUUUUUUUUCUUCUAAUUAUCACUUUUUCUUUUCUCUCAUUUCUCACAUCCUAUAAUUUCACCUCUUUUUUUCUCAUUUUUUACUUUUAAUUUUUUUUUUCCUUUUUUUCUUUUUCUUCUAAAUUAACAAAACUGAUUCGAUCGAACCUUAUGUAGGUUGCCUACGUAUCAUGACGCCGCAUGAAUUAGAUCUUUGCAUAGUUUGGGAAGAUCGGGAAUAAAGUAAACAAACUAACGUUCUCUUUUUCUUUUUCCCCUUUUUUUUUCUUUUUUUACCUUAAUUACUACUCUGAUGAGAAAAGAGAAAUAAAAGAAGCAAAUCCCUUUUUUUUUAAUUUUCUAGACUUAAUGUUCUAUAACCUAUUCUAAACUCAAGCUUAAUGAACAUAUAUUUCUUUUCUUUUUUUUUAUUUUGAACAAAUACUCUAUGGAAAAUUAUUAAGGGGAAAAAAUUCCUAGAAGAGAAAAAUAUUUUUUGAUUCUUUUUUUUAGGAAGGAAAUCUAAAGAAUAAACCAAAGAAAAAUAUUUUGUAUUUUCAAUUGAUAUCCCUAAAGAAAGAUUUCGAACAAGAAAUGAACAAGCUAAAAAAUAUUUUUGGAUUUCAGUUUUUGAUUACCUAAGGAAGAAACUUUAAAGAUAAACCAUAGAUAAAGUAUAUUUUUUUCUAUGUACAAGGUCCUAAAGUUCUAGUAAAAAUAAAAAGAAUAUAUUUUUUUGUUUUUUAUAUAUUUCCCAAAGAAGAACCUUAAAAGAAAAUCUUUUUGGAUUUUUGGAAUUAAUAUCUUAGAAAACUUCUAAAGAGGUAUUAAAAGAAAAUUCUCUUUUUUUUUGAAUUUUUAGUCUUAAUAAACUAAAGGAAAUAUAAAAGCAAUUUUUAUUUUGAGUUCUAGAUAUUAAUUUCCUAAGGAAAACAACAAAAGAUUUUUUUUUUGAACUUCUAGAGUUAGUAUUCUAAAUAAAACCUCUAACAGAAAUAUAAAAUCGCAAAAUCUCUUUUUUGGGAUUUUUAAUUUAUAACACAUUUUUUUUUCAAAUACAAAAUAGGAAAUACAAUAACAAAAGACUCGACAUUACUGUACAAAACUAGAAGGUAAAAGAUGACAUAAAAGAAAAACAGACUCAACACAUAAAAAAUAUCUCCUUAAGCAACUCCUGGAUGAGCGAUCCUGACUGGAUGGUCUCGGGGUUUCUGUCAUGCUCAAACUAUGGUAAAUAGACCCACACCAGUAUGAGAAAAUUAAGACCAAAUAAAGUUAAAGACCUAGAACAAUAUAUGAGACAAUAACACUCCCUAUUGGACGCAUGCAAGACCUGAUUGAGGCUAUUUUUACAAAAUGACUUACCUGGCUAAAAGUGGCUAAAAUGCAAGAUUUGGCUAAAACCCCGCGAAGUCAAGAACCUAAACUCACUAGGAAGAUCGGACCCUAUAUGGUUUGCCUACGUAUCUCGCCCUGAGAGACGAGAAUCAGGUUCGCGUAGUUCGGGCAGAUUGGAUACGGGCGAAAAUUAGGAAAACAACUAAUUUAGAGAAAAUAUAUUUUUUAUCUUUUUUUUUUUUGAAAAAUGGUGAAAAUGCAAAAUCUUUUUGGAUUUUCUUUUUCUUUUUUUUUUAAAUUUUUUGGAAAAUGAUGGAAAGUGCAAAAUCUUUAUGGAUUUUUCAUAUUCAAUUUUUUUUUUUUGGUCUUUUCUUGAAAAAGUGUGAAAGAAAAUUAUAAUUGGUCCCUACUUUCUUUAUUUUUACACUUCACCCUCUUUUCUUUCUCAUUUACCCUCAACCAUCAUUGGUCCGCCAAAUGACUCUUUUACCCUUGAAGAUUGCAACAUGUAGCACAUAGGAUGCAUCAGGAUGGUCUUGUAUUUUGGAUACAUCUGUCCUAGACGAACCUAACUCUUGUGUUGAGUCCUCUAGGUCAAAUGCAUGUGAUGCAAACAAACGUUCCUACUAGGGAUCCGGCAUGAGGUUAUAUUAUUCUAAGUUUAAAGCUGGGGUUGUGUUCUUGACCUGGCUUACCCAAGCGGACAACUCGAGCCGAAGAGGGGGCAACGUACCGGGAGCACGAAAGUCUACCUGGCUUUGUUACUGGCCCAGCCUCAUUUUAUUUGGUAUAACUUCUAACAGAAAAAGUGGGCCACGCAAACGUGAGCACCGUUUUUUUUAAGACUCAGAACGGAGGCGUAAGAAGACAAUAUAAUAUAAUUCAAAUAAUAUCAAAAUGGUAAAUAAGCGGCAAUUAGCACAUUAGGUUCACAAAUACAGUAAUAUCAACAAUAAAUAAAGCCAAGUAAAAAUCAUAUUAACAAGCUCGAAUUCUGAACCCUGAACCAGAAGUUUUGGAUUCUUAUCCCCAGCAGAGUCGCCAGAGCUAUCACACAUCCUUUUUCUAUCCCGAAGGGGAUAUAAGGGAGUUUUUUCCAAUUUAAGUGACAAUCGAAACGGAAUUAUCUAUACUAAAUUCAGAGUCGCCACUUGGGAUAAUUUAUGGUGUCCCAAGUCACCGGUUUAAAAUCCCGAAUCGAGGAAGUUGACUCUUUUUACGGUCUGCGAACACAGAAAUCCGGGUAAGAAAUUCUGUUAACCCGGGAGAAGGUGUUAGGCAUUCCCGGGUUCCGUGGUUUUAGCACAGUCGCUUUGAUCAUACUUGGCUUAUUAAAUUGUUUAACUACUCAUUUUAGAACCUAUGUGCUUUCACCUCUUUUAAUUAAGAAAUUAUCUUAAAAUAGGUCACAUGCACGUGUACCUAUUUGUUUGGCGCGUAAAAAAUUAUGCCACGCGUACAUGUCCACGAUCAAUCAUGCUUUAUUAUUAUUAAGAAAUUUUGGUCGAAGCUGCGCGAAUGCAUGCCCCAAUUUUGUUUUUAGGAUCGCAAUUAUGUCACACGAACGUGUACACAAUCAAUAACAUUUUAUUAUUAUUAAGGUUGUUUCGCCCAAAGUUGUGCGAACGCAUACUUCGGUCUUAAUUGUGGAACCCAUAAUUUUGUCACUCAGAUGUUCAAAAAUACAUACUACUAGGCACUAGCGAAUCUAUAUAGUAAAAAAUACAACUAAAAGUAAAAUGAAAUACAUCACAUUUCAACUAAUCAAACCACUUAUUAUCAAUUAUAAAUGUCGAGGUCAUGAGCUACUGAUAUCUUACUAUUUCAUUUCCAUGCUACUUUAAUUUUGCAGUGUUAGCUUGUCACCUUUCUUCUUCGAAUAAUAAAUUCUUAAACCACAAGUAAGAGAAAAAUGGGCCUCCCACAAUACAUUCAAACCAGAUUUCACUCCUAAGCCACUUCAACAUUUUCCACCAUCUUCACGUCAAAGAACGCUAUCUUGUUGGUGUUAAUAAUGAAUGAUGUCAUGAUAUAAACAACAAAAAAAACUCAGUAGGCAUGAGAAAGCGACUAAAAUUGCACACUAUUGCUAGUUAGGUCUUUCCUUCUUACUCGACGCAUGAAAUAUGGACUAAGUAGACUUAAACCAACAGCGAUUUGACUAGUGUACUCAAAGAACUCUAUCAGCUCAUGACAAUUUCCAAACUAAGAAUGAAUCACCACAUAAACAUAUAAGCAGUGCACGAAUAAUAUAAUCUCAGCAACAUUAUACAUCAAGCUAUGCUCGAAAUAAAAAUCUAAAGUAGAAAAUGAACCUUGAGUGAAGCAAUAUCAGACUUGGAAUAUACAGAGGAUCUUUAUAGAGGUUGAAAUAAUAGCUACUACAAUAUGAUAGAUCCGCAAUGAAAAACCUCAUCGGAAACACAGACGGAACUUCACCGUGAACUCACACCACUCAAACAAAUUCCAUUCCGGAGAAACGAAAAUCCGAAACUAGGGAGAUGAAACAGAAUUUUUAAAUCGUACUCGUACUCAAGGCGUAAAAAUGGGGACCGGUUAGAUCUACAAUUUUUCCGGCGAACAAACAAGACCACGUCUCAAAACAGCUUUAAAGCUAAGUUGAAGAUAGCAGCAACAGUAACCAACUAAACGCUGAAAUGAAGAUGAAGCUCGACUUAAACUGAGCUUUUCAAUUAACGAGAACCUCUAAUGUUACACAUUCGGUUUGGAUGCAAAAUUCCUAUGGCCUAUGAUGGUGACUAGAACCCAAACCGCAUACGCCGGCGAACUUCAGACUCUGACUUCGAACGGAAUCAAAUCUAGACCUUAAAACUUAUCGGAGUCAGUGACGCUACUACAACGACGAUGACGACACUGUUAGAUCUAAACCCGUCUGACAUAGAAGUGAAGUACACGAGAAUAGUGGUGAUGAAAUAUUCGCCGGAUUAGUUUUUCGGACGGAUCGAAAACAAAAUUUCCGGCCAAACCAUGAUUUAAACGGUAGUAGAGGUGAAGAGAUCAGGAGUUCAGGGUUGGGGCUUUCUUUGUGUUGAACGGCUGGUUCUUCAAGAAAGGGGUGAGAUGAAGAAGAAGAUAUUCAUGGGGUCGUUUGGUGUUCUGCGGCGGAUUUUAUUUUCCUUUAGGUCUAGGUCUUUAGCUAG
This 36861-nucleotide long non-coding RNA is filed under the name Nicotiana tabacum (common tobacco). RNAcentral's name for it is "long non-coding RNA (NTAB_LNC011260)". Lineage: Eukaryota; Viridiplantae; Streptophyta; Magnoliopsida; Solanales; Solanaceae. The record is from RNAcentral.